GAGGGUAUAGCUCAGUGGUAGAGCAUGCUUAGCAUGCAUGAGGUCCUAGGUUCAAUCCCCAGUACCUCCA
Molecule: transfer RNA, 70 nt
Filed under: Camelus bactrianus (Bactrian camel)
Lineage: Eukaryota; Metazoa; Chordata; Mammalia; Artiodactyla; Camelidae
Also listed under: 3 other names
Rfam family: tRNA
About the family: Transfer RNA (tRNA) molecules are approximately 80 nucleotides in length. Their secondary structure includes four short double-helical elements and three loops (D, anti-codon, and T loops).
Source: Rfam by way of RNAcentral